RNA transcript from Juglans regia (Persian walnut), 1117 nucleotides. RefSeq lists it as uncharacterized. The record is from RefSeq and is a predicted model, not a curated record. Lineage: Eukaryota; Viridiplantae; Streptophyta; Magnoliopsida; Fagales; Juglandaceae. The transcript is spliced from 2 exons.
CUAAUAACCCAAAAACUAUAAUAAGAAAAAGAAAGUAGAAACACACUCCAAGUCGUAGACUCAUAGUAGCUAAGGAACUCACGCGCUCAAUUCUUCCGCUAAGGAGAAGACAAGUGUAGUCUCCAUAUUGCACCCCAGUAAUCACAUAUACCACGCGCUUUAAAAGGCGUGGACCCACGCAGCACACAACCCAUUGCCUCUCCCUCCCGAGAUGACUCCCGCUUCCAAAACUCUCUUCUAAACCCGGAAAACACACACAGCCGUGGGUUCAAAAAUACACUCCUAUCCGUCGGCUCUGUCUCUAUCUCAAAAUCUCUUCGAAAUUCGUAUCUAAAACAAAACCGAAAACGACGAGUAGAAGAAAAAGGAAUACCCAUUGAGAUACAAACCAUGGAAACGCCUACAAUCAAGCACCCAAAUCUGAACCAAACGGCAAAAGUACUUGAUUUGCCUUUGAAAUCCCACACCAACUCACACUCUCAUUCUCCGAGCUUUCUCCAGCACAACGGCUUCAACUCCUCCGAGCUCCCAAUCUCCGACAUAGAGAUGAUAGCCAUACAGUCCAUGGAGUACACGAGUCUCAAGGACCUGUUGCCGCUGUCGAGCUUGUCACCGACAAACAACUCGAGCUGGUACGACGAGAUCCCGAUCAAGAAUCCGCUGGUCAAGCACGCGGCUCUGGCUUAUCUCCAGCCUAUGUCGACGCCUCGGGAGGCAGGGGACAAGGGCUUCUUCGGGAGGCUCAGGGAGCAAUAUUGCUCUUGCGAGGGCGGUUGCUUAUGGUGGCUCGGCUACGUCGUUUCGAUAAUUAAGGAAGCUUUUCGUGAGAGAAGAGAGAUUCUGUAUUAUGCUGAUGAUGAAGGGGAAGAAGACGAGGAUGAUGAUGACGAUGAUGAGAAGGUUGACUGAGACAGAGAGACAGAGAGUGCAGAGAUGCUUUUUUGCAACCAUGGAGGUUUGACCGGAUUAGAGAUUGUGUCCAAACAAUUAAAAUAUAUGGAACUCUAUGGAUUCGUGGCGGAGAGUUGAAUUUUUUUGCUAUAUUAUAUGGCCCUUUUUUUCAAUUUUUUUGUUUAAUCAUAUGAUUAUCGUUUCUCGAAAGUUUGUUCAGCGGCUA